RNAcentral lists this ribosomal RNA (515 nucleotides) under uncultured bacterium. Its description in RNAcentral is "partial 16S ribosomal RNA". It matches the Rfam family "Bacterial small subunit ribosomal RNA", at positions 28 to 523 of the family's 1533-position model. The record is from RNAcentral.
GACGAACGCUGGCGGCGUGCCUAAUACAUGCAAGUCGAGCGAUGAUUAAAGAUAGCUUGCUAUUUUUAUGAAGAGCGGAGAACGGGUGAGUAACGCGUGGGAAAUCUGCCGAGUAGCGGGGGACAACGUUUGGAAACGAACGCUAAUACCGCAUAACAAUGAGAAUCGCAUGAUUCUUAUUUGAAAGAAGCAAUUGCUUCACUACGUGAUGAUCCCGGGUUGUAUUAGCUAGUCGGUAGUGUAAAGGACUACCAAGGCGAUGAGAAAUAGCCGACCUGGGAGGGUGAUCGGCCACACUGGGACUGAGACACGGCCCAGACUCCUACGGGAGGCAGCAGUAGGGAAUCUUCGGCAAUGGGGGCAACCCUGACCGAGCAACGCCGCGUGAGUGAAGAAGGUUUUCGGAUCGUAAAACUCUGUUGUUAGAGAAGAACGUUAAGUAGAGUGGAAAAUUACUUAAGUGACGGUAUCUAACCAGAAAGGGACGGCUAGCUACGUGCCAGCAGCCGCGGUAA